UUAAUACUCCCUCCGUCGGGAAAUACUUGUCCUAGAAAUGGAUGUAUCUAGACUUAUUUUAGUUAUAGAUACAUCCAACUUAUCCAUUCUUAGAACAAAAAUUUCCCGCAAGCCGGAGAGGGAGUACCUA
Molecule: non-coding RNA, 130 nt
Organism: Triticum aestivum (bread wheat)
Lineage: Eukaryota; Viridiplantae; Streptophyta; Magnoliopsida; Poales; Poaceae
Source: Rfam